RNAcentral lists this ribosomal RNA (408 nucleotides) under uncultured bacterium. RNAcentral's name for it is "partial 16S ribosomal RNA". It matches the Rfam family "Bacterial small subunit ribosomal RNA", at positions 29 to 526 of the family's 1533-position model. The record is from RNAcentral.
AGUGAACGCUGGCGGCGUGCCUAAUACAUGCAAGUCGAACGAAGUGGCGCACGGGUGAGUAAUAUAUAGUUAAUCUGCCCUACACAGAGGAACAACAGUUGGAAACGAUUGCUAAUACCUCAUAGUGUAGGAUGAGACUAUAUCGUAUCAGCUAGUUGGUACGGUUAUGGCUUAUCAAGGCUAGGACGCGUAACUGGUCUGAGAGGAUGAUCAGUCACAUUGGGAUUGGGGCAGGGUUCAAACUUCUACAGGAGGGAGCACGAUGGAGUAGUACCCAAUGGGGGAAACCCUGACGGGGAAACGCGGCGUGGAGAAUAAAAAUUUUCGGAGGAGAAACUCCUUUUUUCAGGAAAGCGGUACCUGAGGAAUAAGCACCGGCUAACUCCGUGCCAGCAGCCGCGGUAAUAC